AAAAGAAAGAAAAAAAAAUAAAAAGAACAAACUCUAAGUGUGCUUGAUGAAGAAUCCUUGCUUUACCUCCAAUUGCUCUGAGAAAACCCUAUCAAAUUUCUUACUCUUUCUCUACAAUGAAAUUUUCUUGAGUACUUGGGUGUCGAGAGACUCUCAAAAAUGUCUUCUCCUCUUCUCUAACUCAAAUUUCUAACAAUCCACUCUUUUGGAUCCUUCUCUCACUUUUGAUGAUGUGUCAAAAAUCUAUUGAAUGAAAAAUAACCUCUCAAAGACCAUCUCAUGGCCAGCCAUGUGUAUAAGAGGCAAUCUCAUGGCUGGCCAUGUGCCUAAUUAUCAUCCCACAGGCAACCAUACUUGUUCCUUCAAUCUCACAGUCAAUCAUGAGAAUCUCAAAACUGACCAUGAGAUCUCCUACCUAAAAUUA
This 424-nucleotide unclassified non-coding RNA is filed under the name Hevea brasiliensis (rubber tree). The record is from RNAcentral. Lineage: Eukaryota; Viridiplantae; Streptophyta; Magnoliopsida; Malpighiales; Euphorbiaceae.